UACGAGGGUCCUAGCGUUGUUCGGAAUCAUUGGGCGUAAAGCGUCUGUAGGCGGCUUUGUAAGUCAGGUGUGAAAGCCCCGGGCUCAACCGGCGAAGUGCAUUUGAUACUGCAUAGCUUGAAUGUUGGAGAGGAUAGUAGAAUUCUGGUGUAGCGGUGGAAUGCGCAGAUAUCAGGAGGACACCGAUGGCGAAGGCAGGUCACUGGCCGCAACUGACGCUGAGGAGCGAAAGCAUGGGAGCGAACAG
Molecule: ribosomal RNA, 247 nt
Filed under: uncultured bacterium
Lineage: Bacteria
Description: partial 16S ribosomal RNA
Rfam family: Bacterial small subunit ribosomal RNA
Source: RNAcentral